Molecule: ribosomal RNA, 618 nt
Filed under: Triticum aestivum (bread wheat)
Lineage: Eukaryota; Viridiplantae; Streptophyta; Magnoliopsida; Poales; Poaceae
Description: partial small subunit ribosomal RNA
Source: RNAcentral
AUGUACCCCUUCAUACGCAAGUACAAGGACGGCAGCAUCGAGCGUUUCCUGCGCAGCCCAUUCGUGCUGGCGCCGCCGGAUCAGGGCAGCAACCGCGGGGUGGCGACGAAGGACGUCGUCGUCGACAAGGCCACUGGCGUCUCUGUGCGCCUGUUCCUCCCGUCCCGUGCCGCCGGGACCGCAGGCAGGAAUCGGCUUCCUCUCGUCCUCUACGUCCAUGGCGGCUCGUUCUGCACGGAGAGCGCUUUCGGCCGUACGUACCACCGCUACGCGACCUCCCUCGCCGCCAGCGCCGGAGCCCUCGUCGUGUCAGUGGAGUACCGUCUAGGUCCGGAGUUCCCCAUACCCGCGGCCUACGACGACGCGUGGGCCGCGCUCCAGUGGGCGGCAUCCUUGUCCGACCCAUGGCUGGCCAGCUACGCCGACCCUACGCGCACGUUCAAGGACGCGUUUGGGUAUGGCAUGGCCAUGAAGUCCUGGGGCACACGCUCCAGUAUGGCACGUAACAGUGCUACUUACCUGAAAACUGGAAGGGUUGGCCCAUCCAAGAAAAUCUCAGUUCGACUGCCGAUGCCUGCUGCGGUUCCGUGGACUUGUGUGAUCAACAACUUUUUCUAG